Molecule: ribosomal RNA, 205 nt
Filed under: uncultured bacterium
Lineage: Bacteria
Description: partial 16S ribosomal RNA
Rfam family: Bacterial small subunit ribosomal RNA
Source: RNAcentral
GACGAACGCUGGCGGCGUGCUUAACACAUGCAAGUCGAGCGGUAAGGCCCUUUCGGGGUACGACGAGCGGCGAACGGGUGAGUAACACGUGGGUGACCUGCCCUUAGCUCUGGGAUAAGCCUGGGAAACUGGGUCUAAUACCGGAUAUGACUCCAUGACGCAUGUUGUGGGGUGGAAAGCCUUGUGCGGCUAGGGAUGGGCCCGC